Molecule: unclassified non-coding RNA, 281 nt
Filed under: Glomeraceae sp.
Lineage: Eukaryota; Fungi; Glomeromycota; Glomeromycetes; Glomerales; Glomeraceae
Description: partial contains 5.8S ribosomal RNA and internal transcribed spacer 2
Rfam family: 5.8S ribosomal RNA (bases 1-65)
Source: RNAcentral
GUGAAUCAUCAAAUUUUUGAACGCAAAUUGCACUCUCUUUGGAGAGUAAGCCUGUUUGAGGGUCAGGAAUAAUAAAAACGGGGUGUGGCUCGGUUGUGACAUAACGGAGUUUGGGCUACCUUUGACUUUCGGGUUUUAAGAGGCUUAAAAUUGAGCUUUUUUGCGCACUUUUAGACGUACAUAAAUUUAUUUUAUCGUCCAUUCUGGUGCCAAUUAUCUAUUAGGUUCGAUCAUGUUUAUAUGAUCUCGUGCUCUUUCUUCACAUCUUUUGAACUCAAAUC